This 439-nucleotide ribosomal RNA is filed under the name uncultured bacterium. Its description in RNAcentral is "bacterial SSU rRNA". It matches the Rfam family "Bacterial small subunit ribosomal RNA", at positions 958 to 1398 of the family's 1533-position model. The record is from RNAcentral.
AACGCGAAGAACCUUACCCAGACUUGACAUGCAGUGGACGCAGGUAGAAAUAUCUGUUCCCUUCGGGGCCGCUGCACAGGUGCUGCAUGGCUGUCGUCAGCUCGUGCCGUGAGGUGUUGGGUUAAGUCCCGCAACGAGCGCAACCCUUAUCAUUAGUUGCCAACAUUUAAGGUGGGAACUCUAAUGAGACUGCCUGGGUUAACCAGGAGGAAGGUGAGGAUGACGUCAAGUCCGCAUGGCCCUUAUGUCUGGGGCUACACACGUGCUACAAUGGUCGGUACAGAAGGCAGCGAAACCGCGAGGUGAAGCAAAUCCCAAAAGCCGAUCUCAGUUCAGAUUGUAGUCUGCAACUCGACUACAUGAAGACGGAAUUGCUAGUAAUGGCGGGUCAGCAACAUCGCCGUGAAUACGUUCCCGGGCCUUGUACACACCGGUACUA